This is a long non-coding RNA of Corticium candelabrum, 352 nucleotides long. RefSeq lists it as uncharacterized. The record is from RefSeq and is a predicted model, not a curated record. The transcript is spliced from 3 exons. Lineage: Eukaryota; Metazoa; Porifera; Homoscleromorpha; Homosclerophorida; Plakinidae.
GUGGGACUACUCGCGUGUGCCUUUUUCGCCGUGCAACAGACCGUCGCUUCGAAACCUUGCAGCAGCUUGGGCCUAUUCAGUCAAGUGCCUUGUGAUGAAACUCAUUCAAGCAAGUGUUAUAACAUAUGUGGUGGAAGACAGACUCCAAUUCAGACUUUUCAAAUCUGCCUCAACAAACAAACGCCUGUGUACAAGAUCGGCGAUGAAAUACGGGGCGUUGUCUCUUUCAAUCUAGAUCGUCCACUGAAUGACGCUCUAUUUUACGACGUCAGCUUGACGCUUUCGAGCAACAGGCACGCAUUUUUUUUUGGCGAACUCUGCAAUGAUCAACCAGAGUUAUGUCAUACUAGUA